Molecule: ribosomal RNA, 342 nt
Filed under: Triticum aestivum (bread wheat)
Lineage: Eukaryota; Viridiplantae; Streptophyta; Magnoliopsida; Poales; Poaceae
Description: partial small subunit ribosomal RNA
Source: RNAcentral
AUGUCUAGUGCUAAACCUAGUGAUAUUGAUCCAUUUGACACUGUCUACUCAAACAUUCCAGACAACACUCAGAUCCUGAAGCUCGAUGAAAAUUGCAAACACUGUAAGGCCAGGAAGUUUGAGUCCGAGACUGAUGGCUUCUGCUGUCGCAAUGGACAGAUCCAGCUUAAGCAACCGAAACCAAUCCCAGAGCUUAUGAGGCUAUGCUCCAGCAUGGAUGCAGAUUCUAGACAUUUUCGGGAGAACAUACGGUUCUUCAACGGGCAUUUCGCCUUCACAACCCUUGGUGUCAGCCUUGAUGAAAACUACACAAACAUGAAAUCUGGGGUGUACACAUUCUGA